GCGGCCGCGCUAUGACCCCUGCGGUGACCUGUGCACACACGUGUACAUAUGUAUAGGUACGAGACUCGCGGCCUUCCGCUGCGCCCUCGGGCGACCGGGGGCCCGGUUUGUAUGUACAUAGAUGUAUAGGUGUCAGGCAGAGGCGGAGGUGCCAGUCCGGGCUUGAGAGGCCGAGCCCUCGAGGGCGCGGGCGAGAGUGUGCGUGGCUUCGCAGGAUCAUUCCCCAGCCGCACUUCUGCAGCCAACUUUUAAGGAGAGCGGUUGUUAGCGCCAGCAGUUGGUGUUUGCUUUGCACUUCGGAACCUGUUGCGUUUUGACCCACGGAGGUGGAGGAGAAACUUUAUGACAUGUUGGGCUUUCCAGUUUUGUUGGUUGGAUUUUGCUUUUUGCGUUUCAUCCUUCCUCUCCCCGGUCCCACUUGGUCCCUGUUGCAUGCGCUCGGUUCUGAUGUUCGGUCUGAAAUAGCUGGCCAAGGGGAGAGCCGGUGUCUUUAGCCUCUUAGAGUAGGGUGGCUCGGGGCUGCCUUACUCCGCGAUUAUACCUUGAAUUCUGCAGACCUCUGCAGAACACUCCCCGGAUCUAUUCUUGACCAGUGAGUGACCAGCUCGAAUCCGGCCUUUUGUAUGAGACAUGAUCACCGUUCCUUUUGUUUCAUCCCAUGUGCAAAUCAAAGCAAGACCUUUUAUUUUCCUUCUUCUCCCCAAGAACAAGAAAUGCAAAAAAAAAAAAAAAAUACGUGUGAGGUGGAAGUUCGGUAAUCUACCCCUGAAUUAUCUACUAGAAGUCUCUCUGAGUCCGCUGGCUUGGACUUGUGAUGCAGUUUACGAACGUGUGGAAAGUACACAUGCUAUUUCCCCUCAAGGCUGAGUUCACCUUACGAUUGUAAAUGUGUGUGUGUCAGUGAAAACAUUGAGCCUUGGGAAAUGCGUUAUUUUCGUUGCCCUAAAUUUGAGUCGGUUUUGGACUCAAUACAUGUUGAACAAAUGUCAAAGUUAACUUUUAAGAAUUGCGGAACUUUCAGAAUCGCAAUUUUAUCUAAUAUUAAAUCAGACUUUUUUGUCUGGGUCGUAAUUAUAUAUUUAUUACUUAGCAAAACUGGAAAAAAAAACCCAGAAAGCAUAGAAUUGUUUUUGAAAGCUGCCUCUCAUCGACU
RNAcentral lists this long non-coding RNA (1153 nucleotides) under Rattus norvegicus (Norway rat). Its description in RNAcentral is "long non-coding RNA NONRATT011191". The record is from RNAcentral. Lineage: Eukaryota; Metazoa; Chordata; Mammalia; Rodentia; Muridae.